AAAAUUGGUGAAAAUUCAAGGAAACAAGUGACAAAAGGUGAUGAGUCCUCCGAUAAAGGCAAGGAAAUUGCAUCCGAAGACCAAUAGUUAGAGUACUUCGAAAAUCCGCACUCUAGACAUUGCUCAGUAUAGGCUGUAGAUAGCUGAUAUUGUCGAAGGCUACAGUUGGCUUUACUUCCUCAAAAACCGUAGGUUUGCAACCUUCGUUCAUUUUUAUCAUUUUGGGGUCCACAUGUCACUGUAAAUUAAAUUUCAUACUCUAGUUAUCUAUACUACUAUAUG
Molecule: non-coding RNA, 282 nt
Organism: Theobroma cacao (cacao)
Lineage: Eukaryota; Viridiplantae; Streptophyta; Magnoliopsida; Malvales; Malvaceae
Source: RefSeq, a predicted model, not a curated record